RNAcentral lists this ribosomal RNA (274 nucleotides) under uncultured bacterium. Its description in RNAcentral is "partial 16S ribosomal RNA". It matches the Rfam family "Bacterial small subunit ribosomal RNA", at positions 523 to 796 of the family's 1533-position model. The record is from RNAcentral.
AUACGGAGGGAGCGAGCGUUAAUCGGAAUUACUGGGCGUAAAGCGCGCGUAGGCGGCUUUGUAAGUCGGAUGUGAAAGCCCUGGGCUCAACCCAGGAAUUGCAUUCGAUACUGCAGAGCUAGAGUAUGGUAGAGGGAAGUGGAAUUUCCGGUGUAGCGGUGAAAUGCGUAGAUAUCGGAAGGAACACCAGUGGCGAAGGCGACUUCCUGGGCCAAUACUGACGCUGAGGUGCGAAAGCGUGGGGAGCAAACAGGAUUAGAAACCCUGGUAGUCC